Molecule: non-coding RNA, 125 nt
Organism: Brachypodium distachyon (stiff brome)
Lineage: Eukaryota; Viridiplantae; Streptophyta; Magnoliopsida; Poales; Poaceae
Source: Rfam
UAUCUACUCCCUCCGUCCCAUAUUAGCUGUCUCAAAUUUGUCAAAAUAUGGAUGUAUCCAUGCCUAAAAAACGUCUAGAUACAUGUAAUAUUUCGACAAUUAAUAUUGGACGGAGGGAGUAGUUU